Molecule: long non-coding RNA, 120 nt
Organism: Amphimedon queenslandica
Lineage: Eukaryota; Metazoa; Porifera; Demospongiae; Haplosclerida; Niphatidae
Exons: 2
Source: RefSeq, a predicted model, not a curated record
AAUGAGUGUCUUGCAGAGGAGAUUAAACUAGCUGAUGGAGAGGAACAAGAACUGAGGACUUUACUUGAUUACAAAGAAGGAUCAAUACUUGAACAAGAUAAACAACUGAAUAUCAUUAAA